RNAcentral lists this ribosomal RNA (404 nucleotides) under Pinna nobilis. RNAcentral describes it as "partial 16S ribosomal RNA". It matches the Rfam family "Bacterial large subunit ribosomal RNA", at positions 1952 to 2580 of the family's 2925-position model. Lineage: Eukaryota; Metazoa; Mollusca; Bivalvia; Pterioida; Pinnidae. The record is from RNAcentral.
UAUGUGGUAGCGAAAUUCCUAGCCUUUUAAUUGGAGGCCUGCAUGAAUGGCUUGACGAGCGCCCUGCUGUCUCUCUUCCCAUGAACUUUUAAAUUAACUUUCGCGUGCAAAGGCGCGAAUGGCUGAGUUAGACGAAAAGACCCUAUGCAUCUUUACUGAGAGAGAAGAAAGUUCUUUAGCUUGGUUUAGCUGGGGCAGCUGAGGAAAAGGCAAAAUUUCCUUAAUAUAAAUCAUACUGGUGGGUUUAGAUCCAGGCUCUUUAGCGGGCUUGACAAGUAGAAAAGUUACGCUAGGGAUAACAGCGUUAUCCUUCUGUGGAGGUCUUAUCUGCAGGAGGGAUUGCGACCUCGAUGUUGAAUUAGGGAUAUACCAGAAAGGCGCAGAAGCUUUUAUUGUGGGUCUGU